Long non-coding RNA from Anneissia japonica, 377 nucleotides. RefSeq lists it as uncharacterized. NCBI's taxonomy places the organism in Eukaryota, Metazoa, Echinodermata, Crinoidea, Comatulida, Comatulidae. The transcript is spliced from 4 exons. The record is from RefSeq and is a predicted model, not a curated record.
UUUUUCCGCUCGAACUAGCAUCCGCUCGAAGUAAAUUCCGCUCGAAUCGAACUGGCAUUCCCCUCGAACUGGUUCCCCAAGCAUCUUUGGUUCCCCUCUCGAUCUCUCUGUGCGAGUAAAAUGUUUCUUUCAUCAAUUCAGUUUGCAAGUAAGAAAAGCAAAAAUGUACUGGUUAUGUUAAGGAGUGCUGCAGGAACAAACACUAUUAAGUUAAUGACAAGACCAAGAACUGCUGACAAGCUUGUCAAGUAUUUAUUUGACUAUAAAGUGAAGAAACAUGUCAUCUUUGUUGAACAGAAGCGCAUUCGAUCAAUUUGAUAUUAAUUUUGACUAUUUAUUUUGCUGUAAAUAUAAUAGUCAGCAUUGUGGAACACUAU